GCCUCGGUAGCGCAGUAGGCAGCGCGUCAGUCUCAUAAUCACUCCAGCGACUAAUCUGAUGGUCGUGCGUUCGAUCCUCACCCGGAUCA
RNAcentral lists this transfer RNA (89 nucleotides) under Araneus ventricosus. It matches the Rfam family "tRNA". Rfam says of the family: Transfer RNA (tRNA) molecules are approximately 80 nucleotides in length. Their secondary structure includes four short double-helical elements and three loops (D, anti-codon, and T loops). Lineage: Eukaryota; Metazoa; Arthropoda; Arachnida; Araneae; Araneidae. The record is from Rfam by way of RNAcentral.